AUGCGCCAAGUACAAGAGCUUCUCGACAAAGGAGGCAUUAAUAAUAUUACUAUUCGUUAUCGUCAUCCUAUUCCUAGGCUAGAUGAUAUGCUUGAUGAAUUGAGUGGUUCUACAAUAUUCUCCAAAGUUGAUUUGCGUAGUGGCUACCAUCAAAUUCGUAUGAAAUUGGGAGAUGAAUGGAAAACAGCAUUUAAAACUAAGUUUGGAUUAUAUGAGUGGUUAGUCAUGCCUUUUGGGUUAACUAAUGCACCUAGUACUUUCAUGAGAUUAAUGAACGAAGUUUUACGUGCUUUCAUUGGACGAUUUGUGGUAGUUUACUUUGAUGACAUACUGAUUUAUAGCAGAUCUUUGGAAGAACAUUUGGAACAUUUACGUGUUGUUUUUAUUGCUCUACGUGAUGCACAUUUUUUUGGUAACCUUGGGAAGUGCACCUUUUGCACCGACCGAGUAUCUUUUCUUGGCUAUGUUGUUACUCCACAGGGAAUUGAAGUUGACAAAGCCAAUAUUGAAGCUAUUGAGAGUUGGCCGCAGCCCAAAACGGUCACACAAGUGAGGAGUUUUCUUGGCCUCGCUGGAUUCUAUAGGCGUUUUGUGAGAGAUUUCAGCACCAUUACUGCACCUCUCAACGAGCUUACAAAGAAGGAUGUGCCUUUUGUUUGGGGUACCACACAGGAAGAAGCCUUCACGGUAUUGAAAGAUAAGUUGACACAUGCUCCUUUACUCCAACUUCCUGAUUUUAAUAAGACUUUUGAGCUUGAAUGUGAUGCUAGUGGAAUUGGAUUAGGAGGUGUGUUAUUACAAGAUGGCAAACCUGUUGCAUACUUUUCUGAAAAAUUGAGUGGGCCUAGUCUGAAUUAUUCUACUUAUGAUAAAGAAUUAUAUGCUCUUGUUCGGACUUUAGAAACAUGGCAACAUUAUUUAUGGCCCAAAGAGUUUGUUAUACAUUCUGAUCAUGAAUCUUUGAAACAUAUUAAAAGUCAAGCUAAACUGAAUCGUAGACAUGCUAAAUGGGUUGAAUUCAUUGAGACUUUCCCUUAUGUCAUUAAACACAAGAAGGGAAAAGAAAAUGUUAUUGCUGAUGCAUUGUCUCGUCGCUAUACUAUGCUUUCACAACUUGACUUCAAAAUAUUUGGUUUGGAGACCAUCAAAGAUCAAUAUGUGCAUGAUGCUGAUUUUAAAGAUGUAAUGCAGAAUUGUAAAGAAGGAAGAAUGUGGAACAAGUUUGUCGUUAACGAUGGAUUUGUGUUUCGUGCUAACAAGCUAUGCAUUCCAGCUAGCUCCGUUCGUCUUUUGUUGUUGCAGGAAGCGCAUGGAGGAGGAUUAAUGGGACAUUUUGGCCUGAAGAAGACGGAGGACGUACUUGCUACACAUUUCUUUUGGCCAAAGAUGAGACGGGAUGUUGAGCGGCUGUUUUGA
RNAcentral lists this ribosomal RNA (1416 nucleotides) under Triticum aestivum (bread wheat). RNAcentral's name for it is "partial small subunit ribosomal RNA". Lineage: Eukaryota; Viridiplantae; Streptophyta; Magnoliopsida; Poales; Poaceae. The record is from RNAcentral.